CAGUCGCCGCGGGAAUACGAAGGGGGCUAGCGCUGUUCGGAAUUACUGGGCGUAAAGCGCACGUAGGCGGAUAUUUAAGUCAGGGGUGAAAUCCCAGAGCUCAACUCUGGAACUGCCUUUGAUACUGGGUAUCUUGAGUAUGGAAGAGGUGAGUGGAAUUCCGAGUGUAGAGGUGAAAUUCGUAGAUAUUCGGAGGAACACCAGUGGCGAAGGCGGCUCACUGGACCAUUACUGACGCUGAGGUGCGAAAGCGUGGGGAGCAAACAGGAUUAGAUACCCCCGUAGUCCCUGUCUCUUAUAC
RNAcentral lists this ribosomal RNA (301 nucleotides) under uncultured bacterium. RNAcentral's name for it is "partial 16S ribosomal RNA". It matches the Rfam family "Bacterial small subunit ribosomal RNA", at positions 509 to 807 of the family's 1533-position model. The record is from RNAcentral.